RNAcentral lists this ribosomal RNA (498 nucleotides) under uncultured bacterium. Its description in RNAcentral is "partial 16S ribosomal RNA". It matches the Rfam family "Bacterial small subunit ribosomal RNA", at positions 30 to 523 of the family's 1533-position model. The record is from RNAcentral.
AUUGAACGCUGGCGGCAUACUUUACACAUGCAAGUCGAACGGUGACAGGCCGCAAGGUGCUGACGAGUGGCGAACGGGUGAGUAAUGCAUCGGAACGUGCCCAGUCGUGGGGGAUAACGCAGCGAAAGCUGUGCUAAUACCGCAUACGAUCUAUGGAUGAAAGCGGGGGACCGUAAGGCCUCGCGCGAUUGGAGCGGCCGAUGUCAGAUUAGGUAGUUGGUGGGGUAAAGGCUCACCAAGCCAACGAUCUGUAGCUGGUCUGAGAGGUCGACCAGCCACACUGGGACUGAGACACGGCCCAGACUCCUACGGGAGGCAGCAGUGGGGAAUUUUGGACAAUGGGCGCAAGCCUGAUCCAGCAAUGCCGCGUGCAGGAAGAAGGCCUUCGGGUUGUAAACUGCUUUUGUACGGAACGAAAAGGUUUGGGUUAAUACCCUGGGCCGAUGACGGUACCGUAAGAAUAAGCACCGGCUAACUACGUGCCAGCCGCCGCAGUAA